Molecule: transfer RNA, 69 nt
Filed under: Marmota monax (woodchuck)
Lineage: Eukaryota; Metazoa; Chordata; Mammalia; Rodentia; Sciuridae
Rfam family: tRNA
About the family: Transfer RNA (tRNA) molecules are approximately 80 nucleotides in length. Their secondary structure includes four short double-helical elements and three loops (D, anti-codon, and T loops). Further hydrogen bonds mediate the characteristic L-shaped molecular structure. tRNAs have two regions of fundamental functional importance: the anti-codon, which is responsible for specific mRNA codon recognition, and the 3' end, to which the tRNAs corresponding amino acid is attached (by aminoacyl-tRNA synthetases). tRNAs cope with the degeneracy of the genetic code in two manners: having more than one tRNA (with a specific anti-codon) for a particular amino acid; and 'wobble' base-pairing, i.e. permitting non-standard base-pairing at the 3rd anti-codon position.
Source: Rfam by way of RNAcentral
GGAGUUGUGGCUCCAAGGUAGAGCACUUGCCUUGCAUGCAUGAGGCACUGGGUUCGAUCCUCAGCACCA